AGAGUUUGAUCAUGGCUCAGAGCGAACGCUGGCGGCAGGCUUAACACAUGCAAGUCGAGCGGGCGUAGCAAUACGUCAGCGGCAGACGGGUGAGUAACGCGUGGGAACGUACCUUUUGGUUCGGAACAACACAGGGAAACUUGUGCUAAUACCGGAUAAGCCCUUACGGGGAAAGAUUUAUCGCCGAAAGAUCGGCCCGCGUCUGAUUAGCUAGUUGGUGAGGUAACGGCUCACCAAGGCGACGAUCAGUAGCUGGUCUGAGAGGAUGAUCAGCCACAUUGGGACUGAGACACGGCCCAAACUCCUACGGGAGGCAGCAGUGGGGAAUAUUGGACAAUGGGCGCAAGCCUGAUCCAGCCAUGCCGCGUGAGUGAUGAAGGCCCUAGGGUUGUAAAGCUCUUUUGUGCGGGAAGAUAAUGACGGUACCGCAAGAAUAAGCCCCGGCUAACUUCGUGCCAGCAGCCGCGGUAAUACGAAGGGGGCUAGCGUUGCUCGGAAUCACUGGGCGUAAAGGGUGCGUAGGCGGGUCUUUAAGUCAGGGGUGAAAUCCUGGAGCUCAACUCCAGAACUGCCUUUGAUACUGAGGAUCUUGAGUCCGGGAGAGGUGAGUGGAACUGCGAGUGUAGAGGUGAAAUUCGUAGAUAUUCGCAAGAACACCAGUGGCGAAGGCGGCUCACUGGCCCGGUACUGACGCUGAGGCACGAAAGCGUGGGGAGCAAACAGGAUUAGAUACCCUAGUAGUCC
RNAcentral lists this ribosomal RNA (744 nucleotides) under uncultured bacterium. RNAcentral describes it as "bacterial SSU rRNA". It matches the Rfam family "Bacterial small subunit ribosomal RNA", at positions 8 to 796 of the family's 1533-position model. The record is from RNAcentral.